UUUUGCCAAUUCUGGCUCUGUAGAAAAAUGUUUCUGAAAAAAAAUUGACAGAGUCCCCACAACCUUCAUAGUCAUAGCCUGAUAAACUAGACAAGGACCUUCUGCAUGAGAUCUCCUUACUCCUUGCAAAGGAUAUAAAGCUACUGGAGAGUGUCCAAAAGAGGACCAUAAAGUUGGUGAAGGGUGUGGAGGAGAAGCCAUAUGGGGAGCGGCUAAAGUCACUGGGUUUGUUCAGCCUGGAGAAGAGGAGGCUGAGGGGAGACCUCAUGGUGGCUACAGCUUCCUCACAAUGGGAGGAGGAGGGGCAGGUGCCGAUCUCUUCUGUCUGGUGACCAGUGACAGAACCCGAGGCAAUGGCAGGAAGAUGUGCCAGGUGAGGUUUAGGCUGGACAUGAGGAGAAGGUUCUUUACCCAGAGGGUGGUGGAGCGCUGGAACAGGCUCCCCAGGGAGGUGUCACAGCCCCAAGCCUGACAAGUGUUCAAGAAGAGACUGGACAGUGCACUCAGACACAUGGUGUGAACUGUGGGGUUGUCCUGUGCAGGGACAGGAGUUGGACUCAAUGAUCCUUGUGGGUCCCUUCCAACUCAGGACAUUCUAUGAUUCUAUGAUUCUGUGAAGUAGUAUUGCCUCAUCCCUUCUCAGGUAGAUGCCAUGCCAGACACCUGUUAUACUGCAGGGCAGCCCCCUAAGGCAAACAUCCUUACUCCAGACAGGUCUGUCCCCUGAGAGGCAUGUGGCUGUUUGGUUUGUUUUUAAAUUAAGUUUUUUGCUGUUUAUUCCCCUGUCAGCCAGAUUUUUGUAGUAACCCCCAUCACAGCAGACUCUGAGCCUGCAGGCUGUGCUCAGCACCUUGUGCUGCGGGAAUGCUCUGCGAUGGGGAGGGAGGAUGCAGAUGCCUGGAUUUGGGAAGGACUGUGUUGCCUCUGGGCUUUCAGCUUUAGCUGAUGGUGCUAUGUCACUGCUGCAGAGGGAGACGUGGAUAAGGGCAAGUGUUGGGAACCGUACCCCAACCCAGCCCUGCUCAGAGCCCCUUCCCCUGCUGCAGCCAACCGGGGCAAGGAGACUUUGUUGUCAACAGUGACAAGCUUCAUCCGGAGUUUAUUGAUCUGGGCUUAUCUGGGAAUUAAGAACCUCCAUUAGGUAUUCACUGCUAGCACGGGGCUUGCUGUGAUAUUUUAGACAAAGCCCUCUUUAGAGAUUUACUGCUUACUUCCUGCUUUUCUGAGUUCCCUUUGAUGCAGGGAGAAGAAACUGCAAUCUUUCAAACUUCUUAAUGACGACAGGGUUAGCUGGUUGCAGGUAUUCAUGUGACAGGCCUACAGGCUGCCAGUGAAUGCACAGGGCCCGGCUUGUCUGACUCCCCAUCACACUGCAGGACACACUCAGACACCCUGCCUGGGUGUCCACGGAAUGGCCGGUGCAGCCUCUGGAACUGCCUCUCAUCUGCUCCGUGGUGAUGCCUGUUUUCACAGAAGGGUGAAAGGGAAGGACAGAGGGACAGUUUUUACUAAAUGUGAUAAGAAUUUACGAGAUGUGUGGAUGUGCUUACUCUAAUGAAGGCAGCACAGGUGAGGCAGCAGUGUGCCGAGUGGUGUUACCAGCAGAGCCCCUCUCUUGCUGCUGUGUGAUUACUUUGCCGUGGGUUUGCUGCCUUCCUAUCAUAUCCCUGCUUGGUUUUAUGUCUUGCAAAAGUAUUGGUGUCUUUGUGUAUCUAAGUGCUUAAAAGAGUGAAUUCCUUACCUGGGAAUUUGUUCACCUCAAGAUUUAACGAGCAUGUACUCAAAUGUGGUGUGUAGUGAGUUGUGAGUGGUGACUCCAACCUCUGGACAUUGUCUUUAUUGUGUGUAUAAGCAAAUAACAUAUUCAGCAAACAGCCAAGGCAGGGAGAAUAAUUAUAUAGCACUUCUUGUUUAAGCCAGAAGUGCUUUCUGUUGGGAAAUACCAAGUGUAAUACUUCAGAGAAACAAAAUGUAAUCAGUAAUGUGUGCUUCAGGGUGAAUGCUGCACAACCUGUGACCACUGAAUGGCAUGACAAAUCUAUGGACUGCCUUAUCGCGCUUUAGCAAUAAAUGCUACUAGGAUAGAAAAAUAAUGUAAAGUUACCUUUCCUAGAUAAAAGAAUUUUAUAUCUAAAAUGCACUAAAAAAAAGAAAAUAAAAUUAAAGAAACACAAAAAUCUAA
This is a long non-coding RNA of Columba livia (rock pigeon), 2182 nucleotides long. RefSeq lists it as uncharacterized. The transcript has 2 exons. The record is from RefSeq and is a predicted model, not a curated record. NCBI's taxonomy places the organism in Eukaryota, Metazoa, Chordata, Aves, Columbiformes, Columbidae.